Antechinus flavipes (yellow-footed antechinus) is the source of this 5776-nucleotide long non-coding RNA. RefSeq lists it as uncharacterized. The transcript has 2 exons. The record is from RefSeq and is a predicted model, not a curated record. NCBI's taxonomy places the organism in Eukaryota, Metazoa, Chordata, Mammalia, Dasyuromorphia, Dasyuridae.
CACACACACACACACACACACAAAAAAAAAGGAAUAGCACGAGAAAUUCUUAUCACAAUGGGCCAUCAAUAAACCCUAGGAACUGGGCUUUGGUGGAGGUCACAGCAAGAUGUUUACAGUAUUUCUGGAAACUAAAAUCAGGAAAUGCAACAAGCUGUUGUGUAAAAGACCAGGCAGAGGCAGAGGCAGCGUGGGAAAGGUGCCCAUCUUCUUGCUUUUAUUCUGUCCUAGUUCCAGGAGAUGGGACAGAGUGUCCAGACACUCAAGCCACUGUUGUUUCCUUCAAAAAGAAUGAGUUGUGCAGUGGAAAGAGCCCUGAUCCAGGAGCCAGAUUCACAGAAAUUCAGGGUUAGAAGGGUUCUCAGAGGCCUGUGUCUGAGCAGAAAUCCUUUCUAUUUCUAGUGAACAUACAGCAUCCAUGGGAAGAUCACCAGUGAGUCCCUCCCUUUUAAAGCAGCCUGUUCCUUUCUAGGACAACUCUAAUUGUUGCUAGAAGUAGUUUAUUUGUUUGUUUUCAUAUCAAGCUUAAAUCUGCCAAUCUGUAACUCCCUUCCUUUGCUCCUAGGACUAAACCCUGGGGUCAAGCAGAGCAAGCCUAAUUCUUCUUUCACAAGCUACUCUUACAAAUACAUGAAGACAACCAGUCAUAUUUCCCCAGUCCUUCUCCCUUCUAAAUUAAACUUCCUGAUUCCUAUAAAUGAUCCUCAUGAGCUCUAGGCCUUUCACCAUUCUGGUUGUUCUCCUCUGGAUGCUUAAUCAAUCAAUCAACAAGCGUUUAUUAAGCAGCAAUUAAGGGUCAGGCAAUGGGCCUAUAAAGGCAAAAACAAAUAAAUGGUCCUUGUUCUCUAGGAGUUUCUAUUCUAUUCUAUUCUACAUAUUCCAGCUUAUAAAUAAAUGUCUUUUCCUAAAAGACUGAGCACAGCACUCCAGAUAUGGACAAUGUACGAUGGAAUCUCCUUUAUCCUGGACAUGGUGCCUCUCAGUACGGCCAAAAAUCAAAUGACCUUUCCCAGAUGUUGGAUCACACUGUCCACUCAUGUGGAAUCACUAAAUACCCAGACACUUUUCACUUGAAUUGUGGUCUGGCCUUGCCUUCUACAUCCUCUUCUCAUGCAGCUUGAGGUUUUGAAUCCAAGGAGAGGAAGUCUAGCCAAACUGGAGGAAUCCCCUUUCCAGCACAUGCCCACUCUUUCCCAACUCCACCUUAGUGACUUUGUUUAUAAUGAUUGCCAAUGACUGGAUCCCAUUGCUCGCUUCACCUCCUGAUGCAAAAAUUCUAUGUAUCCUUAGAAGCUUAUCAUCAAAACCAUCUCAUUUAGACAGCUUUCUCUAAUUCCCCCAAACCAGCCUUCCCUAGGGAGGAUCACUUCCUCAAGACCUAUACUACCCUUCUCUUGUCCACUUUGUCAUAAUCCAUAAAGAUGCAAGUAAAUGCAUUUCUUCAGAAUUUUAAGGUCUGAUGUCCCAAAUGAUCAAAAGAUAUAAUCUGUACUCAAAGGACUAUAAAUUCAAUGCAUAUCCUUUGACCUAACAAUACCACUACUAGGCAUGAAUACUAAAAGAAAUUCAAAAGAAAAGGAAAAUGAUCUAUAUGUACAAAAAUAUUCUUAGCAGCUCUCUUCUCAGGGCAAAAAUAUUGGAAAUUGAGAGGAUGCAGGAUGCUCAUCAAUUAGAGAAUGGCUCAAUAAACUGUGACAUAUGUUUGUGAUGGAAUACUAUUGUUUAUAGGAAAUGCUCUCAGGAUGCUCUUAAAAAAAUACAACAAUCUGGAAAGUCCUCUAUGAACUCAAGCAAAAUGAAAUGUACUGUAUGCAAAGUAAUAGCAAUGUUCUGGGACGAAGGACUUGUGAUGAGAAAUCCUAUCCAUACCCAGAGAAGGAACUGAUUGUGUCUGAAUAUGGAUUGAAGCAUUCUCUGUUUCUCCCUCUCUCUGUGUCGCUGUCUGUCUGUUUGUCUGUCUGUCUCUCUCUCUCUCUUAAACUUAAUUUUUCUUGAGGGUUUUUGGGUGGGAGAUCAACUUGACUUUUAAGGAAAUGUUCUUCAUUGUGUGAUUUCUUAAUUGGGGAUGGAGAUAAGGGAGAGAACCUAGAACUUAAAAUUUUUAAAAACAAAAAAAAUCAUGUUUUGAAUAUAACUAGGGAAAAUAUUAAAUAAAUAAAAUAAAUUUUUAAAAAAGAAUUUUAAGGUCUGCAAAACACUUUAACACCAAUCCUGUGAGUUGGUAUUAUAAUUGUCACUCCAUAAAAUCAUAUCCCUAUUUAAUAUCAGAAGCAGAAUUCACUCAAGUCUCUGCUUACUCCAAGCAGGGUUGGUUCUAUUAUCCCAUGCAUCACUGGGUACUGCAAUUACCUUAUUGCUUGGAACACUCCUUGCUAGACUAAAUGCCCCCAAAGGGAAGGGAAUAUAUCUUACCUAAACUUUUUGUCUACUCAACCUGCUCUCCUCUACCUCAAAACACAGGACUCUCUACAUAGUAGAUACCUAAUAAAUGUCUGUCAAAGUUGAAGGUGAAGAUGUCCUUAGGCAAUAAUAUUCUUUCUACAUCUACUACUGAGGAAUCAUUUGGGAGAAAGGAAGGGAAAGGGGAAAAAAAAAAAACUAGAGAAAAGGAUUAGAUUUGAAUUUAAAAGUCGGGCUUUGAGAAGAGCUGGGAUGAUAUGAUCAGACAAUUGAUCAGAUUUAUCAAGUACCUACUUUGUAUUAGGUAUUGGGGGAUACAAAGAAAGUCGAAAAACUGUCCUCCAUGAAAUAACUUACAAUCUAGUGGGGAAAAGAGAACACAUAAAAGGAAGCUAAAAAGCUGGGGAGUUGGGAGCUACUCAGAUUGGGCCAUGAUAAAGAAGUCCAGAGAAAUAUAUGGGAAAUGAAGGUGUCUUAAAUGGAAUUUUGGAAGGAGAUUUUCUAUCUCUGAGUGAUGGAAGGCCUUCAGGAGUAGAGGUUCCAGCUAUGAGUUCCAGGCCUUAAGUAGAUACAGAAUGAAAAGAUUCCUAGGACAUCAAGAAGUCUCAAAGAAUGCAGCCAGGUUAGAAACAAAGAGAUAGGACUGAGAGCAAUUAGCCGGAUCAGACUGAAAAAUGAAUCUUGGACGUCAACUGGUGGCGAUAACAGGGUGCAAUAUGCAGAUACUUAGCAGAUCUGCUGCCAGAGCUUAGACAAGUUGCUCACCUUAUCUGAUUUGGUUUCCUUACCUGCAAAAUGAAAAAUUUGGAGUGAAUGGUCUUUUAAGUUCUCUUCCAGCUCUGACAUCCUGAGUUCUAAGGACCUUCCCAGCUCUGACAUUCUCUGUUCUAAGGGUCCUCCCAGCACUGACAUUCUCUGUUCUAAGACCCUCCCAGCUCUGACAUCCUGGGUUCUAAGGGCCCUCCCAGCUCUGACCUCCUGUGUUCUAAGGGCCCUCCCAGCUCUAACCUCCCGUGUUCUAAGGGCCCUCCCAGCUCUAACCUCCCGUGUUCUAAGGGUCCUCCCAGCACUAACAUUCCAUGUUCUAAGGGCCCUCCCAGCUCUGACAUCCUGUGCUCUAAAGGCCCUCCCUGCUCUGACAUCCUGGGUUCUAAGGGCCCUCCCAGCACUAACAUUCCAUGUUCUAAGGGCCCUCCCGGCUCUGACCUCCUGGGUUCUAAGGGCCCUCUCAGCUCUGACCUCCUGGAUUCUAAGAGCUCUCCCAGCUCUAACCUCCUGUGUUCUAAGGGCUCUCCCAGCACUGACAUUCUCUGUUCUAAGACCCUCCCAGCUCUGACAUCCUGGGUUCUAAGGGCCCUCCUAGCAAUGACAUUCUCUGUUUUAAGGCCUUUCUCAGCUCUGAUAUUCUGGAUUCAAAGUCCUUUUCCAGCUCUGAUAUUCUGGGUUCUAAAAUCCCUUCUAGCUCUGAUAGUCUAUGUGUUAAGAUUCUAAUUCUGAAAUGAUGUCACUUUUUUUAGGAGAUGGGGGCAGGGGCACCAUGUAGUUGGAGAAGGGAGCUACAGGUCCUCUUUUUAAACAGCAGCUGUGUUUUUCCCAGGCAGGAGCAGAUGUUACUGUUACUUGAUUCCCUCAGCCCUAGGAACCAUGGGAGAGCCAAAGACUGAGCCAGGACCCCCCAGCAAUAUUGGCCUCUGGCCCUGCACCCCCAGGGGCCAUCACGAGGCUCCAGGGAGCCAACAAGCAAGCUAGAGUCUCUCUGGAGCAGCAACUGGGUUCAACACUUCCAGGAAGCCCCCACCCAUUGACCUUAACACCGUUCUUGGAAGCUCAAAAAACUGGGGCAGAUCACUCAUCUGGCAGAGUUUCUAGAGGCCUUCCACUGGGGAUUGGAGAUUUGGAACUAUAAUGACACCUCCAAGACUCCUGGCUGUUAGGACAGAAUUCCUUUCUUAUCAACAGGGGCCGCAGAGCGUAGCUAUUAAUACCCAGUGGCCCCAUUUUUCCUGAGUAGACAGACCCCCUUGCCUUGGAUUAAACAUUUCCAAAGGAGAACAAAGCAAAGUAAGAUCCUCUGUUUAAAAUCACAAUGAAUCCUGGGGAAAAAUACUUGUGGGUUCAAGACCCCAGUGUCUGUGACUCUCUGUCUCUGCCUCUGUCUCUCUGUCUCUGCUUCUGUCUCUGUCUCUUUCUCCCCAGCCAAGCAGGGUAUAUGUGUCAUUUCCCAGCAGCAGGAGGUCUGUAAUCUUGGCCCCUCCCCAAGCCAGAUGCCCUUGAAGCCCUGGGCCUGGGUACAGUGUGAAAUUCCUCCCAGAAGCCAUGGUCUAGUUAGCUCUAUUCCUCAUGCAACUUGCUUGAGAUUCUUUAAGGAUCUAGUACCUGGUCCCCUUUGACUGUCUUGAGAAGAUGAAUGUACUCAUAAGUUCACAAAAUUUUGGAACGAGGGAAUUCUGGAGGCCAUCCAAUCCAGCCUAUAGGGGGAGGAAACUGAAUCCUAAGAAGUGAUCUGUCCAGGCUCAUAAAGUGAGUUUAUGACAGGUCUGGGACCAAAAUUUAGUUCUCCUACUUCCAGUUCAGAUCAGUGGAAACAUUAUAUCAUAAAGUUUGUCAAUUCAAUUCACAAAGUAUUUAUUGAAUUGACAACAUGUGUCAGACAUUUUUUUGAACUUUUCUAUAAUUUCAUCUGGAUAGGGAAGCCCUUGAAAGGAACUUUCCCUUCCAAAGCAGAUCAACUUUCUUUCCCAUAGUCAGAGAGCUGCCUGGGCCACUUAAACGUUGUGAUUUGUUCCAGGUCACGUAGCCAAUGUGUGUCAGAGAGAGGUCUUGAAUCUACUCUCCAUAAGUCUUACACCAGUUCACCAUCCACUAACCCAGGAUACCUAAAUGGGUAUUUUUUUUAAAUUUAUUUUAUAGUACAUUCUUUCAAGGAGUUAAUGGUUUUUUAUAGUAAAAGGACACUUACAUAUGUGAAAUAAUCAUAUAUUAAUAUUGAUUUUUUAAAAAUCUAGAACAAAGAUUUCUUCAGUGUAGGAAAGUCCUCUAUAUGGAAACUCUCUUUACCAAUGCAGUUCAGCAACUGAUCUCUAACAGCUUUUGUUUUAUUUUAUUUUGUCAAUUAAGUAUUUCUUUCUUUUUCCUCCUAUUGUCUCCUUCCCUGCUCCCACUGAAAAGGAAAAGAAAAACAAAACCUUUAUAACAGGUAUACGUUGUCUGGCAAAACAAAUUCCUACAUUGGCCAUAUUUUAAAAUGUACAUUGAAUCCUUCAUCUUUGAAUCAGGACAUCGAUCCUCUGGAAUCAUCAUUGGUUGUUGCAAUUGAUUAGAACUCUUGAGUAUUUUAAAGUUGUUUGUCUUUAUAAAGUUGUUAUUGUAUAAAUUA